AGAGUUUGAUCAUGGCUCAGGAUGAACGCUAGCGGCAGGCCUAACACAUGCAAGUCGAGGGGUAACAUAGGAAAGCUUGCUUUUCUGAUGACGACCGGCGCACGGGUGCGUAACGCGUAUACAACCUACCUUUUAGCGGGGAAUAGCCCAGGGAAACUUGGAUUAAUGCCCCAUAGUAUGGAGAUCUCUCCUGAGAUUUUCAUUAAACAUUUAUGGCUAUUAGAUGGGUAUGCGUCCUAUUAGUUAGUUGGUAAGGUAACGGCUUACCAAGGCAGCGAUAGGUAGGGGUCCUGAGAGGGAGAUCCCCCACACUGGUACUGAGACACGGACCAGACUCCUACGGGAGGCAGCAGUGAGGAAUAUUGGACAAUGGGCGAGAGCCUGAUCCAGCCAUGCCGCGUGCAGGAAGACUGCCCUAUGGGUUGUAAACUGCUUUUACAGAGGAAGAACCACUCCCACGUGUGGGAGUUUGACGGUACUCUGCGAAUAAGGAUCGGCUAACUCCGUGCCAGCAGCCGCGGUAAUACGGAGGAUCCAAGCGUUAUCCGGAAUCAUUGGGUUUAAAGGGUCCGUAGGCGGGCAGUUAAGUCAGUGGUGAAAGUCUUCCGCUCAACGGGAGAACUGCCAUUGAUACUGAUUGUCUUGAGUUAUUAUGAAGUGGUUAGAAUGAGUAGUGUAGCGGUGAAAUGCAUAGAUAUUACUCAGAAUACCGAUUGCGAAGGCAGAUCACUAAUAAUAUACUGACGCUGAUGGACGAAAGCGUAGGUAGCGAACAGGAUUAGAUACCCUGGUAGUCUACGCCGUAAACGAUGGUUACUAGCUGUUCGGCCCGAUUAAAGGCUGAGUGGUUAAGCGAAAGUGAUAAGUAACCCACCUGGGGAGUACGUUCGCAAGAAUGAAACUCAAAGGAAUUGACGGGGGCCCGCACAAGCGGUGGAGCAUGUGGUUUAAUUCGAUGAUACGCGAGGAACCUUACCAGGGCUUAAUGUAGUCUGACAGGUCUGGAAACAGGACUUUUCUUCGGACAGAUUACAAGGUGCUGCAUG
Molecule: ribosomal RNA, 1046 nt
Filed under: uncultured bacterium
Lineage: Bacteria
Description: bacterial SSU rRNA
Rfam family: Bacterial small subunit ribosomal RNA
Source: RNAcentral